UCUGAAUUUUUACUAAGGUAGACAGGGGAUGCCUAGGUAGUAAGAGCCGAGGAAGGACGCAGCUUGCGGCGAUACUCGUCGGGGAGGAGCAUAGCAUCCAUCGAUCCGGCGGUUUCCGAAUGGGGUAACCCUCCCAGCUUUGCUGGGAAGUCUGUCAUGAAUACAUAGUGGCAGGUAGGACACCCGGGGAACUGAAACAUCUAAGUACCCGGAGGAAAAGAAAACAAAGUGAUUCCGUAAGUAGCGGUGAGCGAAAGCGGACCAGCCUAAACCCCGAUUUAAUCGGGGGGUUGUGGGGCAAGAGACAUAGGAUUUGUUGCGGGUAGAAGAACACCUUGGAAUAGGUGGCCAUAGAGAGUGAAAGCCUCGUAUUCGAAACCCAAGACAACCUUAUUUUGUACCCAAGUACCAUGGGGAAAGUACCUUGUGGGAAUCUGGGGCGGCCACGCCCUAAGGCUAAAUACUCUUACUGACCGAUAGUGAACAAGUACCGUGAGGGAAAGGUGAAAAGAACCCCGGUGAGGGGAGUGAAAUAGAAUCUGAAACUGUCUACUACCAAACAGACAGAGCUUGUGUGGAGCACAAGAAUUUGAAAUUUGAAAUUUAAAAUUUUUAAUCAAUUUUUAAUGUUUGAAAAUUUAAUAAUUUAAGCAUUUAGAUUUGAUUUCAAAUUGAAAAUUAAGAAUUUAAAAUUCUCGCGCUCUGCGCGAGUAAUGUCGUGCCUAUUGAAGAAUGAACCGGCGAGUGUUCGUCAAAUCGUUAGUCUAAGCUAAUUUUUAGCGGAGGCGUAGGGAAACCAAGUCUUAACAGGGCGAAAUUAUACGAUUUGAUGGAUGACCCGAAACCGGGUGAGCUUACCAUGAGCAGGGUGAACCCGCUUUAAACGGCGUGGGAAGGCCCGAACUCGUUGUCGUUGCAAUGACAUGAGAUGACUUGUGGUAAGGGGUAAUAUGCCAAACGAACCCGGAGAUAGCUGGUUCUCCCCGAAAUAUAUAUAGGUAUAGCGGUACGUCAUGUGUUUGUCGGGGUAGAGCACUCGAUGGAUCAGGUGGGGUAACCCAUCUCGUUCAACGAAACUCCGAAUACGAUAAACAUUAACGUGCUAGUCAGUCUCAUCGGGCUAAGCUGAUGAGGCAAGAGGGAAACAUCCCAGACUCUCGUCUAAGGUCUCUAAAUUUUUGUUAAGUGGGAAAGGAAGUAUUUUUCCAUAGACACCCAGGAGGUUGGCUCAGAAGCAGCCAUCCUUUAAAGAAAGCGUAACAGCUCACUGGACGAUGGAAGAGUGCGCCGAAAAUUUAUCGAGGCUAAAACAAAAUACCGAAGACGGAGAAUAACACGCUUUUGCGUGGGAUUAGUAGGGGAGCGUUCCGACGGCAGUGAAGGUGGACCGUAAGGUUAGCUGGAGUAGUCGGAAGUGAGAAUGCCGGUAUGAGUAGCGAAAUGUUGAUGAGAAUUCAGCACGCCGAAUGCCCAAGGUUUCCGUCUCAACGUUCGUCGGAGACGGGUUAGUCGGGACCUAAGGUGAGUCCCCGCCACUUUUGCUAAGGAGAGUUUUUGGAGUUUCCGAAGAGUAAGCCGCAAGGCGCCUUCGGCUUCCAGAUUUGAAUUUCUAAAGUAUUUCGUUGGCAAAAGGGCGGGGGGUAGCCGAUGGACAAACUGUUUAUAUUCAGUUACAAGGGAAAGACCGUUAUUUACAAGCGGAGUUUGGAAACAAGCUUUGCUUAUUACCUGGGGAUGGACGAUGAUGGAAAGGUCAAGCUCCGAAUUGAUACGGAGUUUAAAUCAUAAAGUAGUUUUUAUUGGCAAAUCCAUAAAAACGUUUAACUAAGUGAUGAAUAAGAGCCUGCGACGCAAGUUAAGGGCAAUUUGACUAUUUUCAACACCCAAGAAAAGAUUCGCAGGGAGGGCUUUUCUUUCCCGUACCAAAACCGACACAGGUGGGUUGGUCGAGUAGACUAAGGCGAGUGGGUAACAGAGGUUUAAGGAACUAGGCAAAAAAGCUGGGCGUAACUUAUUGGAGAUGCCCUUCCGUCAAUUUGACGGACGCAGCUAAAGAUUAUCGGGCGACUGUUUAACUAAAACACAGGUCUCUGCAAACCCGUAAGGGUAUAUAUAGGGGCUGAGGCCUGCCCAGUGCCGGAAGGUUAAUUGAGGGGGUGACUCGUCGCAAGGCGAAGAGCUUCCAAUCGAAGCCCCGGUGAACGGCAGCAGUAACUAUAACUGUUCUACGGUAGCGAAGUUCCUUGUCGAGUAAGUUUCGACGCGCAUGAAUGGUGUAACGACCUGAUAACUGUCUUGAACCUCUACCCAGCGAAAUUGAAAUGGCUGUGAAGAUGCGGCCUAGAUGUACUUGGACAAAAAGACCCCGUGGAGCUUUACUACAACUUGGCGCUGGAAUGAAAUUUGGAAUUGUCUAGUGUAGGAGGGAGUCCCGAUUUAAUCGGGACGACAAUGUAACACCUCUCUUUUUAACUUUCAAACCUUACUUAUAAACCCUGCAAACGGGUUUAGGGAAAGCGUCAGGCCGGUAGUUUGACUGGGGAAGUCGCUUGCUAAAGAGUAACGCGAGUGCACCAAGGUUGGCUUGUUCCGGAUGGAAAUCGGAACGUAAGUGUAAAGGCAUAAGCCAGCUUGACUGCGAGGCCGACGGGCCGAGCAGGGUCGAAAGACGGUCUUAAUGAUCCCCCGCCCUCUAGUGGUAGAGGCGGGGCUUAACGGAUAAAAGCUACCCCGGGGAUAACAGGCUAAUCGCGCCCGAGCGUCCAUAGCGACGGCGCGGUUUGGCACCUCGAUGUCGGCUCAUCGCAUCCUGGGGCUGAAGAAGGUCCCAAGGGUUGGUCUGUUCGCCCAUUAAAGCGGUACGCGAGCUGGGUUCAGAACGUCGUGAGACAGUUGAGUCUGUAUACAUUUCAGACUGACAAUUACGAGCUGUCUAUCCUUUCAAACGUUUCUGGACAAAAGAAAACCUGUUAUUUAAAGAAAGGUCUCGAGCGGGGCUCGAGAAUAAAUCUGGCUAUAUGCUGGAAAGUCUUGCUAAAUGAUAACCUACUAGUAUAUGAUUUAUUCACUAGUAAAAAUGGUUGUCCUGAGAUAAUCAGCAGGAAAGACCAUGUUCGAAUUGGAAAUUUAAAAUUUGAAAUUUUUAAUCAAAUAUAAAUUUUUAAAAUUUAAUUUUAAAACAUUGAAAAUUGAUUUCAAAUUAAAAACUGAAAAUUGAAAAUUUGAUCUGGAAUCCUCACAGGCCAUACGCCAGAUCCGUCCACCUUUUUGUGGUGGCCGAGAAAGAUAUGGUCGGACCCUUAUGGUGACAUAAGGAACCAGUAAAAACUGGUCAUAGUAACAAUAAUGUCGGACUCUAUCCAGUACAUCCGUUGGAUUCUUGAAGGAAGCUGGCCACAGUACGAGAGGACCUGGCUGGGGGAAUCCCUGGUUUACCAGCUGUCAUAUCAAUGGCAACGUUGGGUAGCCACAUUCCUUCGUGAUAACUGCUGAAAGCAUCUAAGCGGGAAGCACAUCCUAAGAUUAGGAAUCCUUAUCAGACCCCUUGUAGACCACAAGGUUGAUGAGCGAAAGCUCGUCGUCCACCUUCGGGUGGAGAUAGGCAACAGGUGUAAGUAUGGCAACAUAUUUAGCCAAGUUGUACUAAUCGGUCGAUAAAAUUUAGACU
RNAcentral lists this ribosomal RNA (3667 nucleotides) under bacterium. RNAcentral describes it as "23S ribosomal RNA". It matches the Rfam family "Bacterial large subunit ribosomal RNA". The record is from RNAcentral.